AUGAGUGAAGAAGAAGUUUUGGUCAUGAGCAACAUGUCCGAAGCUGUCCGUGAAGUUGCUAUUGCUAUCAAGUCCAUUGGAGAGGCACAUCCUGAACUUUAUGAUGCUGUCAUGGAGCUCCCUGGUUUUACCGAGGAUGAUCUGUUGAUUGUCUUGGAUUAUCUCAACGAGAAUGCCAACAGGGCUAGGAGUCACUCAUUCGUGCAAAUGUCGGAGACUCGUCGCACUCGCUGGGUCAUGCACCACCUCCCAAGGUCAACGGUGGAGUGCCCGUGCCCAAGGAUGGACUGCCAAAGGAUGGAGUGCCUGUGA
Molecule: ribosomal RNA, 312 nt
Filed under: Triticum aestivum (bread wheat)
Lineage: Eukaryota; Viridiplantae; Streptophyta; Magnoliopsida; Poales; Poaceae
Description: partial small subunit ribosomal RNA
Source: RNAcentral